GGUAGGGACCUUGUCCAGAGCAGUCUUGGUCUUGGCCUGUUUGACCAUAACCAUUUUUGAAGGAGGGGUGGCUUCCAAAGCAGAGGGGUUGUGGAAAAAGAAAUGUCUCCCGCGACCCGAAGAUGCUCCCUGAGCAGCAGCUUCUUUCUCUUUUCUCCCCUCCCCUGGUUGUUGUGCCCUCCCUGCAGGUCACCAUAGAUCUUUCAGUUUGCCCCUCUCUCUAAAAAAUAGUGUAAAGUGAAUUUCUCCUAUAAAGACUCUUCCUUAGAAGACUGGAAAGUUAUGGACUGGCCUUCCCGAAAACUAUCUGUGGAACAAAAGGAAGUAGAAACUUCUCCCUGCAAGGAAGGCUUUCUCCCCUAAGGAGAGGUGCCCACCACCCUGCAUCUUCCUAUAGAAAGAAGUGGAGUUGCCUUUACUGGGUCAAGAGGGCACCAUGUUCCUAAUUGAGCAGAGGAAGACACCAGUACUCCCUAAGUCGAGUGGACCUGUGGUUUAGAAUAGACCAGCUAACUGGACAGUAUUUCCCAAAAGCCUCCCCAGAUAAUGUGAGCUAGACAUGCUUUCCAGUUCACGACAAAUGACCUGUGAGCUUUUCAGCUUGUUCCAGACUAGCUCUUCCCACCUUCCUCUCCAGAGUGUUGUCUCUUAUUGUUGCUGCUACUGCUUCUACUGAUGAUGCAUCAACUAGCUGGACUAUGAAGAGAUUGUCAAAGGAGGUACCCUGAUUCAGUUCUGUGGUCCAAGUUUAUGAAAAAACACAAGCCAUUGGUGCUGCUGGCAAUGACAUCUCUGUUGCUUUGCUGAAACAUCUCCCCACAUCCAGCCACACCACUAUCUCUAUUCUUGCCACGGCCUCCCAUUGACAUUUCCUUGGGCUUACAUUACCCUUCUUUCAUGGGUGCCCACAUUGGUCAAUGCUGAGACAAAAGUUUUCUAUGUUCCAUAACCACCCAGUCACUGGCCCCUAUCAGAGGCAGAUGCAUGUUUUUACAUAGCUAGAGAAAGAGUUUCAGCAUUGCUGCUGCCCAAGGUACCACCAUGUCUGUUGCAGAAGGUGAAAGGAUGCCCUUGAUCAUCCGUAACAGGCUGUAAAUCCCCUCCAGCGCUCAUGUUUACCUCAUCUCCCCAGCACCCAACUCUGCCUGAGAUGAGUGCUUUGCUUAAUACUUCAAGUACAACCAAAACAUCUUGACUCAUGACCCCAGUGGUUUCGGUUAUUUUCUAUUAGGCUUUGUGGCAAUCCAAGUGUUCUCACCAAACGUAGACUAAUCUCUGGGUUGAUCUGAAACCUAACUCCUCACUGCAAUGACCUGCCCCUUUCAGAGCAAGUCUGCUUUGCCAAGAUGGAGAAGCUCUCAUGGAUGACCUGCAUUUUCCCCAAAGUAACUCCAAAGACUGCCUGUCCUCUGCAAUGAGCACAACUAUGGGAAUGAACAACUAACUGCUUCAGUGACUACUCCUUGAGAAAUAGGUCUCUUGUGGCCAGAGAUUCGGGCAUGAUGGUGAUCAAGAGGAACAAGAUCCAACUUAGGAUCAGCCUAGAAAGAGUGAAUCACACCCAGAGACUUGGGAGU
RNAcentral lists this long non-coding RNA (1577 nucleotides) under Homo sapiens (human). RNAcentral's name for it is "non-protein coding lnc-CPEB2-15:1". Lineage: Eukaryota; Metazoa; Chordata; Mammalia; Primates; Hominidae. The record is from RNAcentral.